Molecule: ribosomal RNA, 450 nt
Filed under: uncultured bacterium
Lineage: Bacteria
Description: partial 16S ribosomal RNA
Rfam family: Bacterial small subunit ribosomal RNA
Source: RNAcentral
GUGGGGAAUAUUGGACAAUGGGCGAAAGCCUGAUCCAGCCAUGCCGCGUGUGUGAAGAAGGUCUUCGGAUUGUAAAGCACUUUAAGUUGGGAGGAAGGGCAGUAAGUUAAUACCUUGCUGUUUUGACGUUACCGACAGAAUAAGCACCGGCUAACUUCGUGCCAGCAGCCGCGGUAAUACGAAGGGUGCAAGCGUUAAUCGGAAUUACUGGGCGUAAAGCGCGCGUAGGUGGUUUUGUAAGUUGGAGGUGAAAUCCCCGGGAUCAACCUGGGAACUGCCUCCAAAACUGCAUGACUAGAGUACGGUAGAGGGUAGUGGAAUUUCCUGUGUAGCGGUGAAAUGCGUAGAUAUAGGAAGGAACACCAGUGGCGAAGGCGACUACCUGGACUGAUACUGACACUGAGGUGCGAAAGCGUGGGGAGCAAACAGGAUUAGAAACCCCUGUAGUCC